This 491-nucleotide ribosomal RNA is filed under the name uncultured bacterium. RNAcentral's name for it is "partial 16S ribosomal RNA". It matches the Rfam family "Bacterial small subunit ribosomal RNA", at positions 29 to 506 of the family's 1533-position model. The record is from RNAcentral.
AGUGAACGCUGGCGGUAGGCCUAACACAUGCAAGUCGAACGGCAGCACAGUAAGAGCUUGCUCUUACGGGUGGCGGGUGGCGGACGGGUGAGGAAUACAUCGGAAUCUACUUUUUCGUGGGGGAUAACGUAGGGAAACUUACGCUAAUACCGCAUACGACCUACGGGUGAAAGCAGGGGAUCUUCGGACCUUGCGCGAUUGAAUGAGCCGAUGUCGGAUUAGCUAGUUGGCGGGGUAAAGGCCCACCAAGGCGACGAUCCGUAGCUGGUCUGAGAGGAUGAUCAGCCACACUGGAACUGAGACACGGUCCAGACUCCUACGGGAGGAAGCAGUGGGGAAUAUUGGACAAUGGGCGCAAGCCUGAUCCAGCCAUAUCGCGUGGGUGAAGAAGGCCUUCGGGUUGUAAAGCCCUUUUGUUGGGAAAGAAAAGCAGCAGGUUAAUACCCCGCUGUUCUGACGGUACCCAAAGAAUAAGCACCGGCUAACUUCGU